RNAcentral lists this ribosomal RNA (364 nucleotides) under Streptococcus sanguinis. RNAcentral's name for it is "bacterial SSU rRNA". It matches the Rfam family "Bacterial small subunit ribosomal RNA", at positions 44 to 398 of the family's 1533-position model. The record is from RNAcentral. Lineage: Bacteria; Bacillati; Bacillota; Bacilli; Lactobacillales; Streptococcaceae.
GUGCCUAAUACAUGCAAGUAGAACGCUGAAGAGAGGAGCUUGCUCUUCUUGGAUGAGUUGCGAACGGGUGAGUAACGCGUAGGUAACCUGCCUGGUAGCGGGGGAUAACUAUUGGAAACGAUAGCUAAUACCGCAUAAAAUUGAUUAUUGCAUGAUAAUUAAUUGAAAGAUGCAACUGCAUCACUACCAGAUGGACCUGCGUUGUAUUAGCUAGUUGGUGAGGUAACGGCUCACCAAGGCGACGAUACAUAGCCGACCUGAGAGGGUGAUCGGCCACACUGGGACUGAGACACGGCCCAGACUCCUACGGGAGGCAGCAGUAGGGAAUCUUCGGCAAUGGGGGGAACCCUGACCGAGCAACGCC